GUUUACACCAUUUUCCUAAACUAAUCUCUUCCAAAUGCAGGCAGCAUUUUUUUGAACUUCUGGCCACAAGCCCUUUCAUAUCAAUAUAAAGAAAUGAGCUGUUAUCACGUUGCUUACAGUGAGGAAUCCUGCUUGGCCGGAAGGGAAGCCAUUGCAUGUCCUGCUCUAGGAUAGUCCUUCUAGGGCCUACUUAAACAAGCCAUGUCACACUGCAACACCCCAGAACUCCAGAGAAUGGAAGAGGA
This is a long non-coding RNA of Stegostoma tigrinum, 245 nucleotides long. RefSeq lists it as uncharacterized. The record is from RefSeq and is a predicted model, not a curated record. Lineage: Eukaryota; Metazoa; Chordata; Chondrichthyes; Orectolobiformes; Stegostomatidae. The transcript has 3 exons.